This is a long non-coding RNA of Callorhinchus milii (elephant shark), 510 nucleotides long. RefSeq lists it as uncharacterized. The transcript is spliced from 3 exons. Lineage: Eukaryota; Metazoa; Chordata; Chondrichthyes; Chimaeriformes; Callorhinchidae. The record is from RefSeq and is a predicted model, not a curated record.
UGCUUUUUCCUGUAACAGGAUAGGGCGAGAGGCCUCUGCGAUGCAAGAUGCCAUCUUAAAGGACAAGUUAUCUGAAUAUUCCCGAUCCUGUUCACAUCGCUGGGUUGGCGAUGAUUCCUGAAGCCCCUGCAAAAACAGUUCCUUUGGUGGUUCCACCAGCUCUGGAAACCUCAUUGGCAACAAUGGCAGAGAUUUGAAAUAAGACGCAGUCGCCCCCGCAAAUGAUGUGGAAGAAGGAUGAGGAAAACCAGGUGCCGAGGAAGGCGACAAAGGAGGAUUAUUCAUAGACCCCGUCAUGUAACCUAUAGGAGGAGGGUACGGAAGAUUAUGCACCUUAAACGAUGCUCUCGGCCUCGGGAAGACAUGGAGACCAAUUUGAAAGCAAAGACCAAGAGACAUCUUAUCGAAUCCUUGAAACAGCAUCAAAUGUCCCUGAGGAUGCCUUUCUGAAUGCCACGUUGCUAUGUGAGAAGUAAGACUAUCAAUUGAUAUUGAAUAAAAACAAGUCUA